Myxocyprinus asiaticus (Chinese sucker) is the source of this 3242-nucleotide long non-coding RNA. RefSeq lists it as uncharacterized. The record is from RefSeq and is a predicted model, not a curated record. The transcript is spliced from 4 exons. NCBI's taxonomy places the organism in Eukaryota, Metazoa, Chordata, Actinopteri, Cypriniformes, Catostomidae.
CAAUGUUAAUCCUUAUUAAUAUUCUAUUGAUUUUUGAUAAUUGAUAAUUAUCUUUGAUGAUUGUUGAAUUUGAAUGAGCUAGUGUUAAUUUUAAUUAAUGUUUCAUCGAUGUUAACAAUUAACGAUUAUCUUUGAUAAUUGUUGAUUUAAAGGAUAAAAAAAAAGCUAACAUUGAUUCUCAUCAAUGUUCUAUUGAUUUUAAUAAUAAUUAUCUUUGAUAAUUAUUAAUUAUUGCUAAUAACCAAACUUGCUCCUAAACGUAGCACACUACAUUUACUGGAGCCCCAUAUGAGGUUUUAAUGACUUAGAUUCAAUUAAUUAAUUUAAAUAUGAAUUAAUAACUAAAAAAAUAAUUUCUGAUAGUAACACUGAUCUAAACAACCAGUAAAGCCCUACAUCAUUGUCUUUUCAUUUACCUCAUUGCUCAGCAUCGUUACAAGCAGCCGUUGAGCUCAUAUUAACGAGAGAGGAAUGGCUUCUUUACCUCAUCCAUGCUAAGUGAGAUUAGAAUUAAAAGUUUCUUUUUUUAUUGUUUUGAUCAACAAUUUUCUGUAAAGAGCAGAAAGGAUAUUAAAAGCGAUAUUAUUUAGUGACAUUUGGAUUGUGUGGAUCUCGUCUUUGGGCACACAUUACACAAAACAACUUUUACUCACAACAUGCAGUGAAAGGAUCUUGCUGCUGAACUUCUUCACCACUAUACUACUAAAUGAAAGAAAAGUAGAGUGAAUUCUGAACAUUUACCAGCCAGUGGCUAAUCACAGACAUUUUUAGUCAAUUAGCGCCAGUGGCAAGGCCAGAAAUGUCAAAGUGGGUCUGACCUUGGUAAAACAGGGUGGACCUCUAUUCUGUGACUACUCUCUGAUUUCAUUGUUAAUAUAAUGAAGCGUUCUACUUUCCACAGCCGUUAUGAGUCAAUAUUUCCUCAUUUUCACAGCCUAGUAUAUAGUUGCACAAUUAAUGGUACAAAAACAAUAAUUGUUUUUUAAACAAUGAACAAAACAGUGUAAAUGUAUAAUUAGUAAUUUACCUUAAUAGGUCAUAGUGAUGUGAUGGGAAAAAUAUUAAAUGGCCCUUGAAUAAAAUUCAAAAGAAUAAUAUAAAAGAUUAGACACAAUAAAAAAUUAUUAGGGUACAUUAUUACACUGGACACUUUCAGACCUCCUGUUGUGCACAGAUGUAUCUACUUCCCUGGAGAUGGGAUCUUUAAUUUAGCUGACAAACUCUCCUUUGGCUGAAGUUUUGUGCUUCAUGGAGCAACUGUUAUGGCAUAUAAUAAUUAUUUUGAAUAUUAUGUGAAAUUAGAGAGCUUGUUUCUUCCCCUGGAAUCAUCUGUGUUCUGGAUCAUUGUAUCAAUACUAUUUUCUGAAUUUUAUGUAUAUAUAUAUACACCGACAAGGCGCCACUCACCAUAGCACUUAAGUAUCUUUUUUUUUUUUUAUUAUUAUUUUCCUUGUACAUACUAACAUGUCUAAUUCACAAAUAACAUAUGCCUUCAAGCACAUCCCUGUUAUCUGUUACAGACCGUUUACACGAUAUAGAUGCAAGACAAAAUGCAACCCACACAACCUACGGCCACUUUGCACUUCAGCACCUGCUCCGCUCUCUUUCUCAGUGGGACUCUGGAACUGCCAGUCAGCUGUGAACAAAGCUGACUUCAUUCCAGCCUUUGCCACACAGUCCACCCUCAGCAUCCUGGCACUGACAGAAACAUGGAUACGUCCAGAGGAUACAGCAACACCUGCUGCUCUCUCCAACAACUUUUCCUUCUCUCACACCCCUCGACACACCGGUAGGGGUGGGGGAACAGGUUUGCUCAUUCAUAACAACUGGAUAUUUUCACCACACUCUUCUCUAUGUAACAAUACUACUUUUGAAUUCCAUGCUAUUACUACAAUGCAACCCACAAAAAUACAUGUUGUUGUCAUUUAUCACCCUCCAGGUCAGCUGGCAAACUUUAUCGAGGAGUUGGAUGUCCUGCUGUCCUCAUUCCCGGAGGAUAGUAAGCCACUUGUGAUUCUUGGUGAUUUCAACAUACACCAAGACAAGCCCCAGGCCACUGAACUGAAUGCUCUUCUGGCCUCAUUUGACUUGGAAAGACUAAGCACCACAGCAACACACAGAUCGGGCAACCAGCUGGACCUCAUUUUUACCCGCCAGCACAUACUACACCACCCAGCCCCUGGUUCUCUGACGUCCUUCGUGAACACUGGACUGACCUCAGAGCAGCUGAGAGGAGAUGGUGGAAAUCUAAAGAUCCAGCAGAUCUAGAACACGCUGCUGGAUGACAAUCAGUCAGGCUUCAAAAGUGGACACUCCACAGAGACUGCCCUGUUGUCUGUCACUGAGUCGCUGAGACAGGCAAAAGCUGAAUCCAGAUCAUGCGUCCUGAUUCUACUGGAUCUUUUUGCAGCCUUCGACACAGUCAACCAUCAGAUCUUACUCUCCACCCUCUCUUUGCUGGGCAUCACAGGAACUGUGCUUGACUGGUUUAACUCCUAUCUCUCAGCCCAACGACACCAUAGUGACUGCUCGAAUCUCUGCCUGCCUGGCGGCAGAGAAUCAAGUUCAAGACUCUGAUGCUGGCAUACAAAACAGUCACUGGGUCUGCUCCAGCAUACCUAAAAUCAUUUCUGCAGAGCUACGCGCCCACUAGAAGCCUAAGGAAUGUCGCCUUGUUGAGCCAACACAAAGAGGCACCAAAACACUUUCCCGGACUUUCGGCUUCAUCAUACAACGUUGGUGGAACGACCUUCCCAACUCCAUCCGUAAAGCUGACUCACUCUCUGUCUUCAAAAAACAGCUAAAAACACAUCUUUUCGCUUUGGAUAAAAGCAUCUGCCAAAUGAAUAAAUGUAAUGUAAGUGUAAAUCAUUGUAACAAGUUUCAUUGUUGGGUGGAAAGGAGGAAGCUGGGAUCAGCUUGAACAACACACGUAGACUUUAAUAUUCAAAAUAAACUCAACAUAAAACUUUCCUUUUCAGCAGAACACUGACACGCAGACACACACACAAACACAGCUUUGUGUGUGUGUGUGUGUGUGUGUGUCUCUCUCUCUUUGGCAUCCCUGGCUCUUCCUUAUCUCACUCUCCCACUGAUUGGGGCAACUCAGCGCCAGGCGUGCACCCUCACGGCCUGGCCACGCCCUCCUCCUCGUUACAAUCAUUCCUUUUGUAUGGAAAGUAGUGCAUUUUGACGUAAUUUUUCAUUAAACAUUUUUUUUUUCUCACGGUCACUCACUUGAC